Polyrhizophydium stewartii is the source of this 83-nucleotide non-coding RNA. The record is from the annotation of a GenBank genome assembly. NCBI's taxonomy places the organism in Eukaryota, Fungi, Chytridiomycota, Chytridiomycetes, Rhizophydiales.
CCGGCUUUAGCUCAGUUGGUAGUAGCAACAGACUGUAGCGCGCGUCAAUCUGUGGGUCCUCGGUUCGACUCCGAGAAGCCGGA